This 690-nucleotide ribosomal RNA is filed under the name uncultured bacterium. RNAcentral describes it as "bacterial SSU rRNA". It matches the Rfam family "Bacterial small subunit ribosomal RNA", at positions 102 to 788 of the family's 1533-position model. The record is from RNAcentral.
ACGGGUGAGUAACAUAUCGGAACGUACCGAGCAGUGGGGGAUAACUAAUCGAAAGAUUAGCUAAUACCGCAUAUAUUCUGAGGAAGAAAGCAGGGGACCAUUUGGCCUUGCGCUGUUUGAGCGGCCGAUAUCUGAUUAGCUAGUUGGUGGGGUAAAGGCCUACCAAGGCGACGAUCAGUAGCGGGUCUGAGAGGAUGAUCCGCCACACUGGGACUGAGACACGGCCCAGACUCCUACGGGAGGCAGCAGUGGGGAAUUUUGGACAAUGGGCGCAAGCCUGAUCCAGCCAUGCCGCGUGUCUGAAGAAGGCCUUCGGGUUGUAAAGGACUUUUGUCAGGGAAGAAAAGGGCGGGGUUAAUACCCCUGUCUGAUGACGGUACCUGAAGAAUAAGCACCGGCUAACUACGUGCCAGCAGCCGCGGUAAUACGUAGGGUGCGAGCGUUAAUCGGAAUUACUGGGCGUAAAGCGGGCGCAGACGGUUACUUAAGCAGGAUGUGAAAUCCCCGGGCUCAACCUGGGAACUGCGUUCUGAACUGGGUGACUAGAGUGUGUCAGAGGGAGGUAGAAUUCCACGUGUAGCAGUGAAAUGCGUAGAGAUGUGGAGGAAUACCGAUGGCGAAGGCAGCCUCCUGGGAUAACACUGACGUUCAUGCCCGAAAGCGUGGGUAGCAAACAGGAUUAGAUACCCU